CAUAACGUCGCAAGACCAAAGAGGGGGACCUUCGGGCCUCUUGCCAUCGGAUGUGCCCAGAUGGGAUUAGCUAGUAGGUGGGGUAACGGCUCACCUANGCGACGAUCCCUAGCUGGUCUGAGAGGAUGACCAGCCACACUGGAACUGAGACACGGUCCAGACUCCUACGGGAGGCAGCAGUGGGGAAUAUUGCACAAUGGGCGCAAGCCUGAUGCAGCCAUGCCGCGUGUAUGAAGAAGGCCUUCGGGUUGUAAAGUACUUUCAGCGGGGAGGAAGGGAGUAAAGUUAAUACCUUUGCUCAUUGACGUUACCCGCAGAAGAAGCACCGGCUAACUCCGUGCCAGCAGCCGCGGUAAUACGGAGGGUGCAAGCGUUAAUCGGAAUUACUGGGCGUAAAGCGCACGCAGGCGGUUUGUUAAGUCAGAUGUGAAAUCCCCGGGCUCAACCUGGGAACUGCAUCUGAUACUGGCAAGCUUGAGUCUCGUAGAGGGGGGUAGAAUUCCAGGUGUAGCGGUGAAAUGCGUAGAGAUCUGGAGGAAUACCGGU
RNAcentral lists this ribosomal RNA (546 nucleotides) under Enterobacteriaceae bacterium HGB0052. Its description in RNAcentral is "bacterial SSU rRNA". It matches the Rfam family "Bacterial small subunit ribosomal RNA", at positions 172 to 713 of the family's 1533-position model. Lineage: Bacteria; Pseudomonadati; Pseudomonadota; Gammaproteobacteria; Enterobacterales; Enterobacteriaceae. The record is from RNAcentral.